Molecule: ribosomal RNA, 256 nt
Filed under: uncultured bacterium
Lineage: Bacteria
Description: partial 16S ribosomal RNA
Rfam family: Bacterial small subunit ribosomal RNA
Source: RNAcentral
UACGUAGGGUGCGAGCGUUAAUCGGAAUUACUGGGCGUAAAGCGUGCGCAGGCGGUUCGUCGUGUCUGAUGUGAAAGCCCCGGGCUCAACCUGGGAAUGGCAUUGGAAACUGGCGGACUAGAGUGUGGCAGAGGGGGGUGGAAUUCCGCGUGUAGCAGUGAAAUGCGUAGAGAUGCGGAGGAACACCGAUGGCGAAGGCAGCCCCCUGGGCUAACACCUAACGCUCAGGCACGAAAGCGUGGGGAGCAAACAGGGA